This 477-nucleotide ribosomal RNA is filed under the name uncultured bacterium. Its description in RNAcentral is "partial 16S ribosomal RNA". It matches the Rfam family "Bacterial small subunit ribosomal RNA", at positions 30 to 507 of the family's 1533-position model. The record is from RNAcentral.
AUUGAACGCUGGCGGCAUGCCUUACACAUGCAAGUCGAACGGUAACAGGUUAAGCUGACGAGUGGCGAACGGGUGAGUAAUGUAUCGGAACGUGCCCAGUCGUGGGGGAUAACUGCUCGAAAGAGCAGCUAAUACCGCAUACGACCUGAGGGUGAAAGCGGGUGAUCGCAAGACCUCGCGCGAUUGGAGCGGCCGAUAUCAGAUUAGGUAGUUGGUGAGGUAAAGGCUCACCAAGCCGACGAUCUGUAGCUGGUCUGAGAGGACGACCAGCCACACUGGGACUGAGACACGGCCCAGACUCCUACGGGAGGCCGCAGUGGGGAAUUUUGGACAAUGGGCGCAAGCCUGAUCCAGCCAUGCCGCGUGCGGGAAGAAGGCCUUCGGGUUGUAAACCGCUUUUGUCAGGGAAGAAAAGGUUCUGGCUAAUACCUGGGACUCAUGACGGUACCUGAAGAAUAAGCACCGGCUAACUACGUG